UGUGGCUCAGUGGUAGAGCACUUGCCUAACAUGUGAGAGGUACUGGGUUCAAUUCUCAGCA
RNAcentral lists this transfer RNA (61 nucleotides) under Ictidomys tridecemlineatus (thirteen-lined ground squirrel). RNAcentral describes it as "Spermophilus tridecemlineatus (thirteen-lined ground squirrel) tRNA". It matches the Rfam family "tRNA", at positions 6 to 65 of the family's 71-position model. Rfam says of the family: Transfer RNA (tRNA) molecules are approximately 80 nucleotides in length. Lineage: Eukaryota; Metazoa; Chordata; Mammalia; Rodentia; Sciuridae. The record is from Rfam by way of RNAcentral.